RNAcentral lists this ribosomal RNA (253 nucleotides) under uncultured bacterium. RNAcentral's name for it is "partial 16S ribosomal RNA". It matches the Rfam family "Bacterial small subunit ribosomal RNA", at positions 524 to 776 of the family's 1533-position model. The record is from RNAcentral.
UACGUAGGGGGCAAGCGUUGUCCGGAUUUAUUGGGCGUAAAGAGCGUGUAGGCGGUCUGGUAGGUCCGUUGUGAAAACUCGAGGCUCAACCUCGAGACGCCGAUGGAAACCCUCAGACUAGAGUCCGGAAGAGGAGAGUGGAAUUCCUGGUGUAGCGGUGAAAUGCGCAGAUAUCAGGAAGAACACCCGUGGCGAAGGCGGCUCUCUAGUACGUGACUGACGCUGAGACGCGAAAGCGUGGGGAGCGAACAGG